Molecule: ribosomal RNA, 1234 nt
Filed under: metagenome
Description: bacterial LSU rRNA
Rfam family: Bacterial large subunit ribosomal RNA
Source: RNAcentral
UGAAUACGAGACGCUAAGGCGUUGAAGUAGUGUAUGUCAUACUUCCAAGAAAAGCUUGCACUGUCAUAGAUAAAAAACGCCUGUACCAUAACCGACACAGGUGGGUAGGUAGAGUAUACUAAGGGGCGCGAGAUAACUCUCUCUAAGGAACUCGGCAAAAUAACUCCGUAACUUCGGGAGAAGGAGUGCCUUAUUUAUAAGGCUGCAAUAACAAGAUCCAAGCAACUGUUUAUCAAAAACACAGGUCUCCGAUAAGUCGUAAGACGAUGUAUGGGGGCUGACGCCUGCCCAGUGCCAGAAGGUUAAAGAAGUUGGUUAGCAAUAGCGAAGCUGAUAACUGAAGCCCUGGUGAACGGCGGCCGUAACUAUAACGGUCCUAAGGUAGCGAAAUUCCUUGUCGGGUAAGUUCCGACCCGCACGAAAGGCGUAAUGAUUUGGAUACUGUCUCGGAGAGGGGCUCGGUGAAAUAGACUUGUCUGUGAAGAUGCGGACUACCUGCACCAGGACAGAAAGACCCUAUGAAGCUUUACUGUAACUUGAAAUUGAAAUUGGACUUUAUUCGCGCAGUAUAGGUGGGAGGCGUUGAUUGUAAUCUUGCGGGAUUAUUGGAGCCAUCAGUGAGAUACCACCCUUGUAAUGUUAGAUUUCUAACUUUGAAUCAUUAUCUGGUCAAAGAACAGUUUCAGGCGGGCAGUUUGACUGGGGCGGUCGCCUCCUAAACGGUAACGGAGGCGUACAAAGGUUUCCUCUGAACGGUUAGAAAUCGUAUCUAGAGUGUAAAGGCAUAAGGAAGCUUGACUGUGAGACCUACAAGUCGAGCAGGGACGAAAGUCGGUCUUAGUGAUCUGACGGUACUGAGUGGAAAGGCCGUCACUCAACGGAUAAAAGUUACUCUAGGAUAACAGGCUGAUCUCCCCCAAGAGUUCACAUCGACGGGGAGGUUUGGCACCUCGAUGUCGGCUCAUCGCAUCCUGGGGCGGUAGUACGUCCCAAGGGUUGGGCUGUUCGCCCAUGAAAGCGGUACGCGAGCUGGGUUCAGAACGUCGUGAGACAGUUCGGUCCAUAUCCGGUGUAGGCGUUAGAAUAUUGAGAGGAGCCUUCUUUAGUACGAGAGGACCGAGAAGGACAUACCUCUGGUGUACCAGUUAUCGUGCCAACGGUAAACGCUGGGUAGCUAUGUAUGGAGUGGAUAACCGCUGAAAGCAUCUAAGUGGGAAGCCCACCUCAAGAUAAG